Small nucleolar RNA from Lemur catta (Ring-tailed lemur), 104 nucleotides. RefSeq annotates it as small nucleolar RNA U13. The transcript has a single exon. The record is from RefSeq and is a predicted model, not a curated record. Lineage: Eukaryota; Metazoa; Chordata; Mammalia; Primates; Lemuridae.
AUCCUUUUGCAGUUCGUAAACGUGACAGUUGGGUUUUCACGCGCAUGUGUCGGAUGUGCCUCCCUAAAACCUUGUUCUGACAUCGGCAUGUUACCUGUCUCAUA